GAUGAACGCUGGCGGCGUGCCUAAUACAUGCAAGUCGAGCGAACAGAUGAGGAGCUUGCUCCUCUGACGUUAGCGGCGGACGGGUGAGUAACACGUGGAUAACCUACCUAUAAGACUGGGAUAACUCCGGGAAACCGGAGCUAAUACCGGAUAAUAUAUUGAACCGCAUGGUUCAAUAGUGAAAGACGGUUUUGCUGUCACUUAUAGAUGGAUCCGCGCCGCAUUAGCUAGUUGGUAAGGUAACGGCUUACCAAGGCAACGAUGCGUAGCCGACCUGAGAGGGUGAUCGGCCACACUGGAACUGAGACACGGUCCAGACUCCUACGGGAGGCAGCAGUAGGGAAUCUUCCGCAAUGGGCGAAAGCCUGACGGAGCAACGCCGCGUGAGUGAUGAAGGUCUUCGGAUCGUAAAACUCUGUUAUUAGGGAAGAACAAAUGUGUAAGUAACUAUGCACGUCUUGACGGUACCUAAUCAGAAAGCCACGGCUAACUACGU
RNAcentral lists this ribosomal RNA (496 nucleotides) under uncultured bacterium. Its description in RNAcentral is "partial 16S ribosomal RNA". It matches the Rfam family "Bacterial small subunit ribosomal RNA", at positions 28 to 506 of the family's 1533-position model. The record is from RNAcentral.